RNAcentral lists this unclassified non-coding RNA (377 nucleotides) under uncultured Actinomycetes bacterium. RNAcentral describes it as "uncultured actinobacterium contains 16S-23S intergenic spacer region". Lineage: Bacteria; Bacillati; Actinomycetota; Actinomycetes. The record is from RNAcentral.
UCCGGUUUGUCACCGGCAGUCUCCUGCGAGUCCCCGCCAUUACGCGCUGGCAACACAGGACAAGGGUUGCGCUCGUUGCGGGACUUAAGCCAACACCUCACGGCACGAGCUGACGACAGCCAUGCAGCACCUGUGCUAGCCCCUUACGGACACGGGCUUUCACCCGCUUUAACUAGCAUGUCAAGCCUAGGUAAGGUUCUUCGCGUUGCAUCGAAUUAAGCCACAUGCUCCGCCGCUUGUGCGGGCCCCCGUCAAUUCUUUUGAGUUUUAGCCUUGCGGCCGUACUCCCCAGGCGGAACACUUAACGCGUUAGCUACGGCACGGAGGGAGUGGAUAACCCCCCACACCUAGCACCCAUCGUUUACGGCGUGGACUAC